Long non-coding RNA from Cercocebus atys (sooty mangabey), 2290 nucleotides. RefSeq lists it as uncharacterized. The transcript is spliced from 3 exons. The record is from RefSeq and is a predicted model, not a curated record. NCBI's taxonomy places the organism in Eukaryota, Metazoa, Chordata, Mammalia, Primates, Cercopithecidae.
AGGCCCAAGAAAGGAGAUGAGACAGUUAGUGGAGGAGGAUGGGCUCAGCCAGGCCUAGACUGAGAAGGAUGUGUUCACCUUGACAGGGCCCUGUGCUAAUCACGAGUCUUUCCUGUUCAGAGCAGUGAGGCCUGAGACCCUCAACAGUGCUGCCAGAAGGCCUGCCAGAAGGCCCCAGAAUCCACACAAAGGGGCCGCCUGAAACCUAGAGCAUUUGUGAAGAAGGAAAACAUAAGGUAAUGCUUACUCAGUGCGCUGGUUCUUCAACGUGGCUGCAUCCAGGGAGCACCUGGGAACUCUCAGAAAUACUCAUGCCUGGGCCCCGCCUCGGGAGACAAUGGCCUAAUUGGUUUGGGGUGUGUUUGAGCGCUGGGAGCUGCCAAAGCUCCCACCAGGUGAUCCUCAGAUGCAGCCGAAGCCAGACCCUCCGGGCUGUCCUCAGGGGACUUUUCCCACGGGACAGCUGCCGGGGUUGUCCUCCGUGAGACCCCAGGGCUAACCAGAUGUCACUAGGACAUUUUCAUUCUGUCCUGGAAGAACAUUCGAAAUGUGAGGUUUCCCUAUAGUGAAACUGUGGUGGUAUUUUGAAUUGUGUUUUAAAAGUUUAAAUGGUGACGUUGCUUUAUUCUAAAUAACAUGUAUUGUUUUGUAAUUAUAAAAGUGUGUUCAUUUAAAAUAUACAGGAAAGUCUAUAGAAGAAAAUAAAAGGCUUUUUUUUUUCUUUUUUUAAGUAUUUUAGGUUGGUAUCACCAUUUAGGUUGGGUAGAAGUAAUUCUUAAAUCUCGAGAAGCAAUCAUAGAUAGGUGGAAGCCGAUAGUCAUUACUAGGGAUCAUGAUUAGGAAAAACAGCCUCUCUCCAAUGAUCCUGAAUGAGCCCGUUGAAUUCGUCUCCUGCAACUGAUCUCCCCGUGGGGAGUGCUAGGGGAGUGGUGAGGGAUGGGUGACAGGAGGGGACCCUAACCCAAUGUAGUUCGGAGCAGGUGAGUUUUAGGAGCAUUUCAGUACCAAACACAGCUUCACGACUGAGAAUCAGCAGUCAUCCCCAGCUUUGUUUCAUUUGCUAACCUCUCUAGGAACAACUGGAUGUUGUAAAUGUUUCUUAUCUGGCCUGAAAAUCCACGAAAGCUGGAAAAUCCCAAGGCAUCUGUGCACAUACUGGUGGAUUUUAAUGAGAGUCCUGUGCUUGGAGUACCAGAAAUAAACCAGCUUCAGAAGUAAAGUAAGAAAAGGCCCUUGAUUAUGACACUGGCCACGGGUAUUACUAUAUGUAGGUGGUAAGUGGACGUUUCUGGGACAUCUGUCCUGCAAACUUUCUUUCCACCCUAAGCUGACUUUUGAAAUUGUGCGUGACUGAAAAACUUCUAAGGGGAGAGGUGGUUGGGCCCUCCAGGGGUCCUGUGUUUCUCCUAGGGGGACAAUCUCUCCCUAAUUCCAUGUGGUCCUGGUGGUGCUCUCCACCAUGCUGCCAUCCUCACUCCCGGGGGGACCAGGGGACAAGGAACCCAGUGGGGCCGGGCCAAUGAGAGUCCCCCGAUCACAAUCCCUGGUUCAAAGAUGGCCAUGUGCCUGAGCAGCUUUGAAACCACAGAGAUGUCAUUUCCUCCCGAGAAUGAAGUUAACAGGAGGAGGAAGCAGAGCUAGAGAUGGAACCAGACCCAGCCAGCCCAGGCUCCAGUGACAUCAGCCGGAUCUGAAUAUCUAUGACACUCUUUUGAGCUGACACAGUGAAGAACAUGGAAGGAGAACUCACCCAGUCUGCCAGGGUCACAGAUGAUCAUACUCAAGAUCUUCCUGGGGAGUCAAUGGCAAAUUUCACUGGGCUAUUUUACAGAUGAAGAAGGAGCAUAAAGAAGGUUCUAGGACCUUGAAGUCCAUGGAACACCCACUAUUGCCUGAUCUCUGGAGCUUGUCAUUUGGCCAAUGGACCCUAAUAAACAUGUCCACCAGGAUGUGGGGACAGAAUGCCGGAGCCUGGCUCACCUGGGCAGCCAGGUUCUUCCUCUUUGCCCUGCUGUCUCCAGGCACCAAGAAUUUCCUCCAGUUCCCCAAAGAUGAACCCCCCAUUAUCUCAGGUCACUGUUUCCCCUGAUCUUUGCCAAAUUCCUGACUCAGAGUUCCUCCCAUUUGCUUCUGACUCUCAUUUUAUUCUUACAAUGUUUACCAUUUCUGUUCUUCUCAGUGUCCCUCUCUGAGUGGUAAGAAUAUGUUAAUAAGCCAGUGCUGUGACCAGAGCACAAGGCAAUUGCUCAUGUUGGUCACUGUCACUGUUAUUAAAUGUAACUUAAAGGAA